UGAAGGAUGUCGUCGUUUCACCACAGCAUUUAUUUUAUUAGCAAAAUAAUGGAAAUUAGUCCACUAUUAGUCCCCAUCCAAUGGAAACAGAAGGGUUGGGGGUUAGGGGGAUAUGUAACCUGAAACCAUUAUGAAACUUAUCGUCAACAUCAUAACAGUGCAAAUACACCCAUUCGCCUCCCUUUGUCCCCCUCGUCUGCUACAAGGCUGUAGUUGUCAUCCUCUUUUCAAAGUUUCUCUUUAAAAUAAUGAUUUGGUGUAGGAAUGUUACCAUCCGCAAUGUCACACCAACCAUGUGACGUCGCAUUAAAUAUACAUUUGCCUUUUUGGUACAUGUUCCAGAAAACCAGACUGAAAGAGGAUGACAAGUAAAAAGAGUCCCUUUGUAUUUAUAUCCACACAUUCAUGCAUGCUACUCACUCACUCAAGCAUACAGUCAUGCAGCAAAGGCACUCACACACAGUCAUGCACAAAGACACACACACAGCUCUUAGUAUGUAAGAGUGAGUUGGUCUAUCGAGAGCAAGUUAGUCUUAAUUGGCCUAUUCCAUCAUUUCCAUGGAUGCAAUAAUUCUGGGAUGUCAGUCAUGGAAACCAUAUUUGGAACCAAAUAGAGAUAUUUGGGGAGGGUGGUGUAAUUAAUUAUAACAUCUAAAUACAUCUAUUACAAUUUAGCUAACAAAAACAAACACACUGCAACUAAGGCAUGCAAAGGCACAAGUACCUACAAAUAGAAAAAAAGUGUCCAUUCCUCUCCUAGAAUAAGAAGAAACAAAAUGCAAAGGCCCCCCCUUUAAAAAAAUAAAACCUUGAACUCUUAAAACAAAAACAUUUUAAAAACAGUGAAAAACUCCGGCCUUAGUGACAGUUGUACAAAUAUUUUACACAAACGUUUUCUACAAGGCAUUUUAAAACCUUUCAGAGAUCAACAUAAGGUAAGAGGUUAAAAGAGACGUCCUUUACAAAGUGUCCAUGAUCCGCCCCCCUCCAGUCACAGACGCAAGAAAGUCACUGAGCGCACUCUGGCCACCACACUGCCUGUACAGAAAGAGGGUAAAACAAAAUGUUUAGAUAACACCUCUGAUAUGCUAGGUGCCUUGUCAUAAUGCCGAUACAAUCCCUUCAGACAUACACACCAGGUUAGGGGGGGUUUAUUUGGGUAUCUGUCCAGGCCUGACUCCAGAAAGUCUUAAGGUCCCGAAGUUAUUCCGAUUCCCACGUAAAAUAGCCUUUUGAGUGACUGAAACAAUCAUCCAAAAUAUUUUUCCCAAUAAAAAUACUCACAAUUGUAUUUU
Molecule: long non-coding RNA, 1295 nt
Organism: Oncorhynchus tshawytscha (Chinook salmon)
Lineage: Eukaryota; Metazoa; Chordata; Actinopteri; Salmoniformes; Salmonidae
Source: Ensembl